Molecule: long non-coding RNA, 134 nt
Organism: Agrilus planipennis (emerald ash borer)
Lineage: Eukaryota; Metazoa; Arthropoda; Insecta; Coleoptera; Buprestidae
Exons: 3
Source: RefSeq, a predicted model, not a curated record
UUUAUGAACUGAAUAAAGUAGAUUGUGAUGACUGAUGAGUUAUUCCCUAUGAACCAGUCUACAUAAAACAAAUGUCCAUAAAGAUGAUUUGGUCACUAGAGGAAUACUUCAAAAGUUGAUGUUUAUGAACUGGU